Molecule: ribosomal RNA, 393 nt
Filed under: uncultured bacterium
Lineage: Bacteria
Description: bacterial SSU rRNA
Rfam family: Bacterial small subunit ribosomal RNA
Source: RNAcentral
GUGUCAGCAGCCGCGGUAAAACGUAGGAGGCGAGCGUUAUCCGGAUUUACUGGGUGUAAAGCGCGAGCAGGCGGUUCUGUAAGUGGUGUGUGAAAGCGCUCAGGCUCAACCGGGCGAGGACGCGCCAGACUGCAGGGCUGGAGGUAGGUAGAGGCGAGUGGAAUUCCGGGUGUAGUGGUGAAAUGCGUAGAGAUCCGGAGGAACACCAGUGGCGAAGGCGACUCGCUGGGCCUGACCUGACGCUCAGACGCGAAAGCAUGGGGAGCGAACGGGAUUAGAAACCCCGGUAGUCCAUGCUGUAAACGAUGUGGACUAGGUGUGGCGCCCACAAGGGGCCGUGCCGCAGCCAACGUGAUAAGUCCACCACCUGGGGACUACGGCCGCAAGGUUAAA